UACGAAGGGGGCUAGCGUUGUUCGGAAUCACUGGGCGUAAAGGGCGCGUAGGCGGCCGAUCAAGUCGGGGGUGAAAGCCUGUGGCUCAACCACAGAAUUGCCUUCGAUACUGUUUGGCUUGAGACCGGAAGAGGUAAGUGGAACUGCGAGUGUAGAGGUGAAAUUCGUAGAUAUUCGCAAGAACACCAGUGGCGAAGGCGGCUUACUGGUCCGGUUCUGACGCUGAGGCGCGAAAGCGUGGGGAGCAAACAGG
Molecule: ribosomal RNA, 253 nt
Filed under: uncultured bacterium
Lineage: Bacteria
Description: partial 16S ribosomal RNA
Rfam family: Bacterial small subunit ribosomal RNA
Source: RNAcentral